CACGGGAGGAGCAAGCGUUGUUCGGAUUCAUUGGGCGUAAAGAGCUCGUAGGCCGCUCUGUAAGUCGGAAGUGAAAGACCACGGCUCAACCGUGGAAACGCUUUCGAAACUGUGGAGCUUGAGGCCGGGAGAGGAGAUUGGAAUUCCUGGUGUAGCGGUGAAAUGCGUAGAUAUCAGGAGGAACACCCGUGGCGAAGGCGAAUCUCUGGACCGGCUCUGACGCUGAGGAGCGAAAGCUAGGGGAGCAAACAGG
RNAcentral lists this ribosomal RNA (253 nucleotides) under uncultured bacterium. RNAcentral describes it as "partial 16S ribosomal RNA". It matches the Rfam family "Bacterial small subunit ribosomal RNA", at positions 524 to 776 of the family's 1533-position model. The record is from RNAcentral.